UUAAGUUCAGCGGGUAAUCCUGCCUGAUCUGAGGUCUAAUCUAAAGUUGACUAAUAGAAUUAGAAGCUUCUACUUUACAAAACUCGGCCACUCCCGAAAGAGCGUCCUCAGCGAAUAGUCUAUUACACUGAGUCAAUCCGAUUUUCGAAUAUGAGAUGCUAAUCAUUUACGAACGAGCUUCGCCAAUAAAGGCCAGCAAG
Molecule: unclassified non-coding RNA, 200 nt
Filed under: Curvibasidium sp.
Lineage: Eukaryota; Fungi; Basidiomycota; Microbotryomycetes
Description: partial internal transcribed spacer 2
Source: RNAcentral